This 253-nucleotide ribosomal RNA is filed under the name uncultured bacterium. Its description in RNAcentral is "partial 16S ribosomal RNA". It matches the Rfam family "Bacterial small subunit ribosomal RNA", at positions 524 to 776 of the family's 1533-position model. The record is from RNAcentral.
UACGAAGGGUGCAAACGUUGCUCGGAAUUAUUGGGCGUAAAGCGCACGUAGGCGGCUUGGUAAGUUGGAUGUGAAAUCCCUCGGCUUAACCAAGGAAGUGCAUCCAAAACUACUGAGCUUGAGUACUAAAGAGGAUCGCGGAAUUCCCGGUGUAGAGGUGAAAUUCGUAGAUAUCGGGAGGAACACCAGUGGCGAAGGCGGCGAUCUGGGUAGAUACUGACGCUGAGGUGCGAAAGCGUGGGGAGCAAACAGG